RNAcentral lists this transfer RNA (85 nucleotides) under Trametes sanguinea. Its description in RNAcentral is "tRNA-Phe". It matches the Rfam family "tRNA". Rfam says of the family: Transfer RNA (tRNA) molecules are approximately 80 nucleotides in length. Their secondary structure includes four short double-helical elements and three loops (D, anti-codon, and T loops). Lineage: Eukaryota; Fungi; Basidiomycota; Agaricomycetes; Polyporales; Polyporaceae. The record is from RNAcentral.
GCCGGGAUAGCUCAGCUGGGAGAGCAACAGACUGAAGCGAAUAGUGGCGUUCUGGAGGUCGCGUGUUCAAUCCACGCUCCUGGCA